GGAUCCAGACUUUGAUUCUGGCUCAGGAUGAACGCUAGCUACAGGCUUAACACAUGCAAGUCGAGGGGCAGCAUGAACUUAGCUUGCUAAGUUUGAUGGCGACCGGCGCACGGGUGAGUAACACGUAUCCAACCUUCCGUUUACUCAGGGAUAGCCUUUCGAAAGAAAGAUUAAUACCUGAUAGUAUGGUGAGAUUGCAUGAUAGCACCAUUAAAGAUUUAUUGGUAAACGAUGGGGAUGCGUUCCAUUAGGUAGUAGGCGGGGUAACGGCCCACCUAGCCGACGAUGGAUAGGGGUUCUGAGAGGAAGGUCCCCCACAUUGGAACUGAGACACGGUCCAAACUCCUACGGGAGGCAGCAGUGAGGAAUAUUGGUCAAUGGGCGAGAGCCUGAACCAGCCAAGUAGCGUGAAGGAUGAAGGUCCUACGGAUUGUAAACUUCUUUUAUACGGGAAUAAAGUAUCCUACGUGUAGGAUUUUGUAUGUACCGUAUGAAUAAGCAUCGGCUAACUCCGUGCCAGCAGCCGCGGUAAUACGGAGGAUGCGAGCGUUAUCCGGAUUUAUUGGGUUUAAAGGGAGCGCAGACGGGAGAUUAAGUCAGUUGUGAAAGUUUGCGGCUCAACCGUAAAAUUGCAGUUGAUACUGGUUUCCUUGAGUGCAGUUGAGGCAGGCGGAAUUCGUGGUGUAGCGGUGAAAUGCUUAGAUAUCACGAAGAACCCCGAUUGCGAAGGCAGCUUGCUAAACUGUAACUGACGUUCAUGCUCGAAAGUGUGGGUAUCAAACAGGAUUAGAUACCCUGGUAGUCCACACGGUAAACGAUGGAUACUCGCUGUUGGCGAUAUACUGUCAGCGGCCAAGCGAAAGCAUUAAGUAUCCCACCUGGGGAGUACGCCGGCAACGGUGCAACUCAAAGGAAUUGACGG
RNAcentral lists this ribosomal RNA (922 nucleotides) under uncultured Bacteroidota bacterium. Its description in RNAcentral is "bacterial SSU rRNA". It matches the Rfam family "Bacterial small subunit ribosomal RNA", at positions 1 to 916 of the family's 1533-position model. The record is from RNAcentral. Lineage: Bacteria; Pseudomonadati; Bacteroidota.